Peromyscus californicus insignis is the source of this 1347-nucleotide long non-coding RNA. RefSeq lists it as uncharacterized. Lineage: Eukaryota; Metazoa; Chordata; Mammalia; Rodentia; Cricetidae. The record is from RefSeq and is a predicted model, not a curated record. The transcript has 3 exons.
UGCAGCACUUGCUGAAAUGGGUGCUGGAGAACAUCUGCUCUUCCAGAAGUCUGUGUCACCAUGACUGGAACAUUAACUUUGUAAAGGUGACCUUAAGAAGGAGGGGGAAAAGAGUAGUAUUUCUGUAAUCAAGGAAAAAGAUAUUUCCGUAAAUCUUAAAGACUGAGACGUCCCACUGGUCUCUCAUCAAAACAAAGCCAUUCCCAAGAAGCCCCUCAUGGGAGUGUUAUCUUAAUGAAUAAGGCAAAUGGCGGCCCGCUCAGACUCGCACCCUGGAAAGACAGCGUGAAACAGUUCACGGAUUAUGACCAUCAGUGCCGUGGAAGAGAAGGAAAUGUGGAAGUGUUCCUGUCUAUCUAAAAACUACUCGGUUUUCUAUACAUACAAAUAAUUUUAUUUCUUGCCUCCAAGGCCUAAAGAAGGAAAAUAAUUCUACUUCACCCAAGUAAAAACAAACAAAAAAGCAAAAUAUUCUACUCAAAUACAAUGGAAAGCUAUCAGAUAACUACUCUUGAAGAAAAGAAAAUCGGGAAAAAAUAAUCUCCUUCAGAAGCACCAGUGUCCACAAGAUUACAGAUCUAUGGGGAUGCCCUCUUAUCCAAUCAGUAGUCUCUCCCAUGAUCACCCAAGCAUUGAUGCAGCAAAGAAUGGAGAUAACAGUUUUUCAUAGUUCACAAACUCCCCAGAUGUUCACACUGGGAUUUGAGACUGGUAUAAAUUAUCCCAUGCCUUUAGGUUAAAGUUUGUGGGACGAUUUCCAACUAUGAACUCACCUCCUUCAAUAAAUGUGAACCAAUUCAGAAAAAAAAAAAAAGAUACUUGGAAAACUGAAUCUUCACAUGUAAAAUAACAACACUGGACCUGUCUGUUAUGCCAUACACACACACACACACACACACACACACACACACACACACACACACACAAAAUUAACUCACACUUAAAAUGAAAAGAAGAUGUAAAUACUAGACCUGAGCCUUCAUACUUCCAGAAGAAGACAUCACAAAAUCUGGGACUAUACAAGAAUAAAUGGAACUUCCGUCACUCAGAACUUUGUCACUAGGACAAAUACCUAGGAGAAACAAGAUGGACUGAUGUAAUUCACAGUUUCAGUCCAUUGUGUUAAGUCUGAAGUAAGGCUAGCAGUGAUGGCAGAGAGGACAUGAUGGAACAGAUAUCUCACACCGUCACAGGCAGGAAGCAAAGAGUUACCUGCACGAGAGCUACCUCCUUCUUGCUUUUACCCUCCUUGGGGCCCUGGCUUCCUGGGACUGUGUGCACACUCGGGAUGGACAUUUCUGAGGAUUGCCACACUGACGCAGCUAGAGGCGGUUCCACUCAACUCCA